RNAcentral lists this long non-coding RNA (745 nucleotides) under Anas platyrhynchos platyrhynchos (common mallard). RNAcentral describes it as "lncRNA (ENSAPLG00000021986.1)". Lineage: Eukaryota; Metazoa; Chordata; Aves; Anseriformes; Anatidae. The record is from RNAcentral.
CCUAGAAGUAGCACAUAAGUGCUGGGAAUAUCUUCAACUGAGUGGAUCCUAAAGGGAUCAGACAAACGUUAAGUUCUCCAGGAAAAGCAGUGAAUUCUUCAGGGAAACUCCAGUUUGAGUCAAACAUGUAGAUUAAGCCCCUGAACCUUAACUGUCUACCCACUCUGAACCUUAAACUCCCCCCCCCCCCCCCACUUCCCAGAAAACCAAAAAAGGAAGAUUUGCCAAAGAUUUAAGGAAAUCUACCAGGGCCUUCACUAUUUCUGUUGUUUUUAUAUGUAACACAAUAGGCAUCUGGAAGAACCAUUAGUCCUGUGGUGGAAAAAUCACCAUGUGCAAGCUGAGAUCCAUGGACUUCAAAGACAACAUAAACUAUUCUGCAAUAUUGGUUAUUUUACAGUGGUUUUUUUUUGUUUGUUUGUUUUUCCUUUUUUAAUAUUGAGUGCGUACCUUGAGAUAAUUCCUGUUCAUUGUGCUUUUAGAGACAACCUUUCUACUCUAAAUGAGAAGUAAUCUUACCAUCGUUACUAGAGAAGGAAAUUGGUGUGAAUCAGAACAGUUCCCUGAUAACAUAGAAAAGUGAACACAGUCAAAAAAUUCAAUGCGAGCAAGUUCUCACUGUAAGAACAGGAGUUUUAUUCAAAAAUAUUUAUAUCCAUGAAAUCCCUCUUACUGUCAGAAUUCAAUGUCUUUUCUCUCUUCACUGCAUUUGGUAAUAAUAAAAAUAUAUUUUCAGAAGAUUGCA